RNAcentral lists this non-coding RNA (24 nucleotides) under Arabidopsis thaliana (thale cress). The record is from RNAcentral. Lineage: Eukaryota; Viridiplantae; Streptophyta; Magnoliopsida; Brassicales; Brassicaceae.
UCACGCCACGUGUUAGAUCGGUAG